This 549-nucleotide ribosomal RNA is filed under the name Polypedates cf. mutus USNM 587419. Its description in RNAcentral is "partial 16S ribosomal RNA". It matches the Rfam family "Bacterial large subunit ribosomal RNA", at positions 1819 to 2597 of the family's 2925-position model. Lineage: Eukaryota; Metazoa; Chordata; Amphibia; Anura; Rhacophoridae. The record is from RNAcentral.
CGCCUCUUGAUUAAUAAUAAGAGGUCCAGCCUGCCCAGUGAAUUUUUAACGGCCGCGGUAUCCUAACCGCGCGAAGGUAGCAUAAUCACUUGUUCUUUAAAUGGGGACUCGUAUCAACGGCAUCACGAGGGUUUUACUGUCUCCUCUUUUUGAUCAGUGAAAUUGAUCUUCCCGUGAAGAAGCGGGAAUACCCAUAUAAGACGAGAAGACCCCAUGGAGCUUAAAACCAAAUAGUAACUUAACCACAUAUCUCCUUAUAACUUUAAGCCCAUACUAUGAGGUUUUUGGUUGGGGUGACCGCGGAGUAAAACAUAUCCUCCACGACGGAAAGAUUACAAUCUUUAUUUAAGAACCACAAUUCUAAAAAUUAGUAUACUAACGUUUACUGACCCGAUAAUCGAUCAACGGACCAAGUUACCCUGGGGAUAACAGCGCAAUCUACUUCAAGAGCCCAUAUCGACAAGUAGGCUUACGACCUCGAUGUUGGAUCAGGGUAUCCCAGUGGUGCAGCCAUUACUGAAGGUUCGUUUGUUCAACGAUUAAAACCCU